Alnus glutinosa is the source of this 1460-nucleotide long non-coding RNA. RefSeq lists it as uncharacterized. NCBI's taxonomy places the organism in Eukaryota, Viridiplantae, Streptophyta, Magnoliopsida, Fagales, Betulaceae. The transcript has 2 exons. The record is from RefSeq and is a predicted model, not a curated record.
GAACAAUCAAAAUAUAAUUUUUCCCCAAGAUUUCAACUAAAACCCUGGAAGAUUCCAAUCGCUACGCAGCUUUGUGAUUGAAUUUAGAAAUGGAAAGGGGAUUAUUAUUGAUAACACUCCACUAAAGGUAGAAUUGCACUAGAGAAACCCAGUAAUGAGGCGUGGUGGUCAUCGUGGGCUUUGGUCCUAGUCCAUGUGUGGCUGGUCCAGGUUGGGAUACAUUGGUUCAGGUCUAAUGUGGUGUAGGUUGCAGGUGUUGGGUUUGGUUGGUAGUGGUGUUGUCAGGAUUUCGUGUCUCUUGAUCAAUCCUACUCUCCACUACACAACAACAUAUCUAGCAUGUCUUCCUUUUCUGUUGCAGCUCUAAUCUCAUCCCGUAAUAAUGGACAAAUUGGAAGCUUUAGCCUUGGCCACAGAGAAACCCAGGAAUGAUUUCAAUCUCAGUAAAGACUAACGGUGCAACACUUUGAUGCUCCCUUCCGGAUAAUGAGUUCCCCAUAAGCAAAAGUGUUGGGGAUAAAUUAACCCCGAGGACACGUUGAAACAUCUCGGUGCUACAUCUCGGAUAUUUGUUACGACCCAGUAGAAGAAGAUCGUCUAGGUAUGAUGACACAUCGGUCCUAUUGAACUCAGUAAUGAUAAUAAAUAUCCCGAGAUCUCCUAGUCCGAUCGGAGCGAACAUAUCUCAGAUAUUUAUGCCUCGUAAGAAGUUUUCAUCACAACCCGGUAUAAAAAGAUUACCUUGGUAUGGUAAUACCUCGGACUUUCUACAACCCUGUUACGAUGUGAUGAUAUUCCGAGAUCUUCUAGUCCGAUCGGAGCGAACAUGUCUCGGAUAUCAUCACCUCGGGGGUUGGUCAAAGUAUACUACAAUUGUCUUAGAGUAAGAUAAUGCCAGUAUCCCGGAAGACCAGGGAUAAGCCUCUAUCCCAUAAUCAACAGGAUAAGACUGCUAAUAACGUGGAAUUAAGAUUGAAGAGGCAGGAGUGCUAUCCAAUUUGAACUCUGUCGCCUUAUUCAAAUUCCUGAAGAUAAGGUUAAGAUUCGAACAAACUAGGAUUCAAACUCCUAGUUCAAUUGGGCUUCAAGAAUCCCAGUAGAACUGCAACUACAAGCCUAUAAAUAAGACCACUACGCCAGGUAUUAAAGAGAUAUUCUCUGAGCUUUUAAGAUUACAGAUAUUCUCCAGAAAAUUCCCCGAGUAGUCGUUUGUUAUUUUGCAAGGAUCGAGGUAGUUCUAUUAAGGGAUGAGGCGAAUCACCAGGCGAUACGUCACCAUACCGGAAACUGUACCAACAAGAAGCUUGCUCAACCUAGGAGUGAGAAUAGAUUUGACGAUGAUACAUGUCUGGUGGGAUGCUCCCACUGUGAUUUAUUUUAUUUUUUUCCUUUUUAGAUUGUAUUUUUAAAAUUUAUUUUUUAUAUUUUAAUUUAUAACACAAUACCAUAUAUUAUUUGAA